This 49-nucleotide small RNA is filed under the name Arabidopsis thaliana (thale cress). RNAcentral describes it as "ATSL009210". The record is from RNAcentral. Lineage: Eukaryota; Viridiplantae; Streptophyta; Magnoliopsida; Brassicales; Brassicaceae.
UAUAUGGGGUGGCAAAAAAAAAAUUGUUGGGAUACUUUUUGGCUUGAUG